GACAGAGGGGGCAAGCGUUGCUCGGAAUCACUGGGCGUAAAGGGCGCGUAGGCGGGAUGGCAAGUCGGUCGUGAAAUCCUUCGGCUCAACCGAAGAACGUCGGCCGAUACUGCCGUUCUUGAGGGAUGCAGAGGAGAUUGGAAUUCCCGGUGUAGCGGUGAAAUGUGUAGAGAUCGGGAGGAACACCGGUGGCGAAGGCGGGUCUCUGGGCUUCUCCUGACGCUGAGGCGCGAAAGCGUGGGGAGCAAACGGG
This 253-nucleotide ribosomal RNA is filed under the name uncultured bacterium. RNAcentral's name for it is "partial 16S ribosomal RNA". It matches the Rfam family "Bacterial small subunit ribosomal RNA", at positions 524 to 776 of the family's 1533-position model. The record is from RNAcentral.